This 301-nucleotide ribosomal RNA is filed under the name uncultured bacterium. Its description in RNAcentral is "partial 16S ribosomal RNA". It matches the Rfam family "Bacterial small subunit ribosomal RNA", at positions 509 to 807 of the family's 1533-position model. The record is from RNAcentral.
CAGCCGCCGCGGUAAUACGUAGGGGGCAAGCGUUAUCCGGAAUUACUGGGUGUAAAGGGAGCGUAGACGGUUAAACAAGUCUGAAGUGAAAUGCCGGGGCUCAACCCCGGAGCUGCUUUGGGAACUGUAGAACUGGAGUGUCGGAGGGGUAAGCGGAAUUCCCAGUGUAGCGGUGAAGUGCGUAGAUAUUGGGAGGAACACCGGCGGCGAAGGCGGCUUACUGGACGACAACUGACGUUGAGGCUCGAAGGCGUGGGUAGCAAACAGGAUUAGAUACCCCUGUAGUCCCUGUCUCUUAUAC